This 99-nucleotide small nuclear RNA is filed under the name Salvator merianae (Argentine black and white tegu). Lineage: Eukaryota; Metazoa; Chordata; Lepidosauria; Squamata; Teiidae. The record is from RNAcentral.
GUGCUUGUGGCAGCACAUAUACUAAAACUGGAAUGAUACAGAGAAGGUUAACAUGUGCAGGAGGAUGAUGCACAAAUUCAUGAAGAAUUCCAUAUAUAU